RNAcentral lists this ribosomal RNA (253 nucleotides) under uncultured bacterium. RNAcentral's name for it is "partial 16S ribosomal RNA". It matches the Rfam family "Bacterial small subunit ribosomal RNA", at positions 524 to 776 of the family's 1533-position model. The record is from RNAcentral.
UACGUAGGGGGCUAGCGUUGUCCGGAUUUACUGGGCGUAAAGGGAGCGUAGGCGGAUUUUUAAGUGAGAUGUGAAAUACUCGGGCUCAACUUGAGUGCUGCAUUUCAAACUGGAAGUCUAGAGUGCAGGAGAGGAGAAUGGAAUUCCUAGUGUAGCGGUGAAAUGCGUAGAGAUUAGGAAGAACACCAGUGGCGAAGGCGAUUCUCAGGACUGUAACUGACGCUGAGGCUCGAAAGCGUGGGGAGCAAACAGG